RNAcentral lists this transfer RNA (73 nucleotides) under Rhizobium leguminosarum. Its description in RNAcentral is "tRNA-Phe". It matches the Rfam family "tRNA". From Rfam's summary of the family: Transfer RNA (tRNA) molecules are approximately 80 nucleotides in length. Their secondary structure includes four short double-helical elements and three loops (D, anti-codon, and T loops). Further hydrogen bonds mediate the characteristic L-shaped molecular structure. tRNAs have two regions of fundamental functional importance: the anti-codon, which is responsible for specific mRNA codon recognition, and the 3' end, to which the tRNAs corresponding amino acid is attached (by aminoacyl-tRNA synthetases). tRNAs cope with the degeneracy of the genetic code in two manners: having more than one tRNA (with a specific anti-codon) for a particular amino acid; and 'wobble' base-pairing, i.e. permitting non-standard base-pairing at the 3rd anti-codon position. The record is from RNAcentral. Lineage: Bacteria; Pseudomonadati; Pseudomonadota; Alphaproteobacteria; Hyphomicrobiales; Rhizobiaceae.
GCCCCGCAGGUAAGGCGUUAGCAGCGGAUUGAAAAUCCGCGUGUCACUGGUUCGAUUCCGGUCCUGGGCACCA